GGGCUUGUAGAUCAACGGUAGAUCGCUCGCUCGGCAUGCGAGAGGCUGGGGGUUCGAAUCCCCCCAGGUCCA
Molecule: transfer RNA, 72 nt
Filed under: Nanobdellota archaeon
Lineage: Archaea; Nanobdellati; Nanobdellota
Description: tRNA-Ala
Rfam family: tRNA
About the family: Transfer RNA (tRNA) molecules are approximately 80 nucleotides in length. Their secondary structure includes four short double-helical elements and three loops (D, anti-codon, and T loops).
Source: RNAcentral